AUAUAUCACUCGUAUACUGUGGUUCCUCUGCGCCGCCGGCACUCACCUGGCAACUGCUCGCUACUUUUUGUUAGCG
Molecule: small RNA, 76 nt
Filed under: Xanthomonas fragariae
Lineage: Bacteria; Pseudomonadati; Pseudomonadota; Gammaproteobacteria; Lysobacterales; Lysobacteraceae
Description: sX9 sRNA
Rfam family: Xanthomonas sRNA sX9
Source: RNAcentral